Molecule: ribosomal RNA, 253 nt
Filed under: uncultured bacterium
Lineage: Bacteria
Description: partial 16S ribosomal RNA
Rfam family: Bacterial small subunit ribosomal RNA
Source: RNAcentral
UACGUAGGGUGCAAGCGUUAUUCGGAUUCACUGGGCGUAAAGGGUGCGCAGGCGGCCGAGUGUGUGAGGCGUGAAAGCCCGGGGCUUAACCCCGGAAUUGCACCUCAAACUACACGGCUAGAGCAUUGGAGAGGGUAGCAGAAUUCAUGGUAUAGCAGUGAAAUGCGUAGAUAUCAUGAGGAAUACCAGAGGCGAAGGCGGCUACCUGGACAAUUGCUGACGCUCAGGCACGAAAGCGUGGGGAGCAAAAGGG